Molecule: ribosomal RNA, 499 nt
Filed under: uncultured bacterium
Lineage: Bacteria
Description: partial 16S ribosomal RNA
Rfam family: Bacterial small subunit ribosomal RNA
Source: RNAcentral
GACGAACGCUGGCGGCGUGCCUAAUACAUGCAAGUCGAGCGAAGUUUUUCUGGUGCUUGCACUAGAAAAACUUAGCGGCGAACGGGUGAGUAACACGUAAAGAACCUGCCUCAUAGACUGGGACAACUAUUGGAAACGAUAGCUAAUACCGGAUAACAGUAUUUCUCGCAUGAGAGAUAUUUAAAAGUUGGUUAUGCUAACACUAUGAGAUGGCUUUGCGGUGCAUUAGCUAGUUGGUGGGGUAAAGGCCCACCAAGGCGACGAUGCAUAGCCGACCUGAGAGGGUGAUCGGCCACACUGGAACUGAGACACGGCCCAGACUCCUACGGGAGGCAGCAGUAGGGAAUCUUCCGCAAAGGGCGAAAGCCUGACGGAGCAACGCCGCGUGAGUGAAGAAGGAUUUCGGUUCGUAAAGCUCUGUUGUUAGGGAAGAAUGGAUAUGUAGUAACUAUACAUGUAAGAGACGGUACCUAACCAGAAAGCCACGGCUAACUACGUG